Molecule: ribosomal RNA, 1570 nt
Filed under: Prometheomys schaposchnikovi (Long-clawed mole vole)
Lineage: Eukaryota; Metazoa; Chordata; Mammalia; Rodentia; Cricetidae
Description: 16S ribosomal RNA
Rfam family: Bacterial large subunit ribosomal RNA
Source: RNAcentral
GCUGUACCUAGCCCUGACACACACACACACAACGCAACUAUUAAUUCGCCAUAAAAUAAAUCAUUUGACAAAAACAAGUAUUGGAGAAAGAAAGUUUAACCAGGAGCUAUAGAAAAAGUACCGCAAGGGAAAGAUGAAAGAUUUAUUAAAAGCAAAAAUAAGCAAAGAUUAAACCUUGUACCUUUUGCAUAAUGAGUUAACUAGAAAAAAUCUAGCAAAGAGGCCUUGAGCUAGAUACCCCGAAACCAAACGAGCUACCUAUGAGCAGUACAAAGAACUAACCCGUCUAUGUAGCAAAAUAGUGGGACGACUUGUAGGUAGAGGUGAAAAGCCUACCGAGCUUGGUGAUAGCUGGUUACCCAAAAAAGAAUUUCAGUUCAACUUUAAGAUUACCAUAAGAAGUUAAAAUCAAAAUGUAAUCUUAAAUUUUAGCCUCAAGAGGGACAGCUCUUCAGGAACGGAAACAACCUUUUAUAGUGAAUAAAUUUUUUUACCCGCACAAACCAUUGUUGGCCUAAAAGCAGCCACCAAUAAAGAAAGCGUUAAAGCUCAACAUCAUAACACCAAAAAUACCAUAAACAACAAUGACUUCCUAUAAAUACUAAUUGGGUCAAUCUAUAUCCAUAUAGAUGAGAUACUGUUAACAUGAGUAACAAGAACAUAGUUCUCCAAGCACAAGCCUAUAACAACACGGAUGACCAUUGUUAGUUAACACCCCGGGUGAACAUGCCACUAAUAAAACGCACCUACACUUAAAUUGUUAGUCCAACACAGGCGUGCUAUAAGGAAAGAUUAAAAGAAGUAAAAGGAACUCGGCAAACAAGAAUCCCGCCUGUUUACCAAAAACAUCACCUCUAGCAUAAAAAGUAUUAGAGGCACUGCCUGCCCGGUGACUUACGUUAAACGGCCGCGGUAUCCUGACCGUGCAAAGGUAGCAUAAUCACUUGUUCUUUAAUUGGGGACUGGAAUGAAUGGCCACACGAGGAUUCAACUGUCUCUUACUUCCAAUCAGUGAAAUUGACCUUCCCGUGAAGAGGCGGGAAUACCAUAAUAAGACGAGAAGACCCUAUGGAGCUUUAAUUUAUUGGCCUACCUUUUCAAACAAUCCCCCUACUGGACUAAACAAUAAGAUAUAGGUCAACAAUUUCGGUUGGGGUGACCUCGGAGAAUAAACAAACCUCCGAAUGAUUUUUUAGCCAAGACUCACAAGUUGAAGCGACCAAAUCUAAUUGACCCAAUUUUUUUGAUCAACGGACCAAGUUACCCUAGGGAUAACAGCGCAAUCCUAUUCGAGAGUUCAUAUCGACAAUUAGGGUUUACGACCUCGAUGUUGGAUCAGGACAUCCCAAUGGUGUAGAAGCUAUUAAUGGUUCGUUUGUUCAACGAUUAAAGUCCUACGUGAUCUGAGUUCAGACCGGAGUAAUCCAGGUCGGUUUCUAUCUAUUAACUAUUUCUCCCAGUACGAAAGGACAAGAGAAAUGGGGCCUCCUUAACAAAAGUGCCCUUAAACUAAUAUAUGAAAUUAUCUCAAUUUAGUAAGUUUGUUCAACAACACCCUAGACAAGGGUUC